Molecule: microRNA, 22 nt
Filed under: Helianthus annuus (common sunflower)
Lineage: Eukaryota; Viridiplantae; Streptophyta; Magnoliopsida; Asterales; Asteraceae
Source: RNAcentral
UUAAACAGAGAAAUCACGAUUG